ACUGCCGCCGGACGGAACGGGUCGCGAGGGUUGGGGAGCCUGAUGACCGACCCGCCUCCGAGACAGCCACGGGUCUUAGGGAGCCCGAAGCCGUCGCUCCGGCGAGGGAG
Molecule: small RNA, 110 nt
Organism: Actinomyces urogenitalis DSM 15434
Lineage: Bacteria; Bacillati; Actinomycetota; Actinomycetes; Actinomycetales; Actinomycetaceae
Rfam family: Actinomyces-1 RNA
Source: Rfam